Molecule: non-coding RNA, 297 nt
Organism: Drosophila suzukii
Lineage: Eukaryota; Metazoa; Arthropoda; Insecta; Diptera; Drosophilidae
Source: RefSeq, a predicted model, not a curated record
UUCAGCGCGGUACUCAGAUGAGCUAAGGAAAUACCAGAAAAAAAACAGAUUUUGCGAGUGAAUUUCGAUGAACGCCGUUACCCGUGGUAACGGGCGUGUCCUCGCAAAGAAGCAGAACCACCAGUAAUACGAACUCCGCCGACCUCUCCAUUAGGCUACUUGGGAUUCGUGCGUGGACAUCCUUACAAAGAAGAUGGGUUUGUUGUCAAACGGAAAAGAAAUCAGUUGCAGAAAUUUAAGAAGGUGGAGUCUCCUGGUACACAAAGAAAUUACAAUAAAAAUAAAUGAAAUGUUCAA